Molecule: ribosomal RNA, 509 nt
Filed under: Candida albicans
Lineage: Eukaryota; Fungi; Ascomycota; Pichiomycetes; Serinales; Debaryomycetaceae
Description: eukaryotic LSU rRNA
Rfam family: 5.8S ribosomal RNA (bases 142-295)
Source: RNAcentral
GGCACUGACUGCUUAUUGCACCACAUGUGUUUUUCUUUGAAACAAACUUGCUUUGGCGGUGGGCCCAGCCUGCCGCCAGAGGUCUAAACUUGCAACCAAUUUUUUAUCAACUUGUCACACCAGAUUAUUACUAAUAGUCAAAACUUUCAACAACGGAUCUCUUGGUUCUCGCAUCGAUGAAGAACGCAGCGAAAUGCGAUACGUAAUAUGAAUUGCAGAUAUUCGUGAAUCAUCGAAUUUUUGAACGCACAUUGCGCCCUCUGGUAUUCCGGAGGGCAUGCCUGUUUGAGCGUCGUUUCUCCCUCAAACCGCUGGGUUUGGUGUUGAGCAAUACGACUUGGGUUUGCUUGAAAGACGGUAGUGGUAAGGCGGGAUCGCUUUGACAAUGGCUUAGGUCUAACCAAAAACAUUGCUUGCGGCGGUAACGUCUACCACGUAUAUCUUCAAACUUUGACCUCAAAUCAGGUAGGACUACCCGCUGAACUUAAGCAUAUCAAAAGCCGGAGGAA